CGCUAACAUCGGCGUUGGCGGUAGAGUCGCAUGGUCUCUUGAAUCACCAUAUUCAGCUGAUGACGCAAAUUAAUGUUACUUUAAUUUGCUCGUUAAUAUGUGGAUCCGGCGGCCAUGGCAGACGUCGUUAACCUCGUCUCUGAUUCGGGUCUGCCAAUCCGGAUUGGAAGCCAGAAGCAUUACACACCAGGAGGCGGCGGCAGCGGACGUCUCGAAUCCGGCUAAAUAGAUGUUUCGGCAGUUGUCAACGAUGAACUGGUGGAUUGAAUCGGAAUUGGAAUCUGAAUCCGAUGAAGAAUGGCUGCUGCUGCUGCUCUGUGCGCUUUCUAGAAGAAUCUGGAGCAAGUCCUUCUCAGAUCCAGCCAGUUGCCUCUCCUUCACCACUUUCAGGAUGAGUCCCUCGAUUUCCUUCUCCAAUGCCCUAAUCCUCAGGUUGUUCCUUGUCGGGAGAUAUCUGCCGAUCAAAGCAAUCGAAAUAUAUAUGUAUCUCUGAUGUAUUAAUUCUGUGCGAUAAUUGAAUUGUUAAUUACCUUAGUCCUGGAACGCCGAGUGAUUUCAUCCUGCUGGAUAUCAGCUCCUGGAGAUGCCCAAAUUUUGAGAAAAUAUGUCGCGCUUUGGAAUGGCUGCUGCCAAAACAGGCCCUGGAAAUUAUGUCCCCGGAGAAUAUCUUCAUGUACUCAUCCACAGUGAUUUCCAUGGCUCCAUUGUCGAUUUCAUGGUUCCAGGAGUUCACCAGAUUUAGAGCUGAGUCGGCGAUUAUGUCCAUCAUUCCCUGUGCCAUUAGGUGUUCGAUGAAAUGCCUGAGAGAAGAUUAGAUCCCAAGGAGCUAUGAUCUUCCUCUGGUACGCCCAAAUCGAGCCAUUCGACGUCAAGAUCCCGUCCCCAAGCAACGGGCCGAAUUCCUCCCGCUGAUGAGCCGGCUUCCCCAAGUUGGGCGACGUGCACGUCGAUAUUGCCUUCACUAAAUCAGGCUUCGACACAUACAGUAUCUGCAUCGUGCCCAGAGAAAACAGGUACAAUGAACCUGCAAUUCAAUUCAAUUCAACAAAUGAGUUGAAAGAAGCUCCAUUUAAUUUGUACUUUGAAUGCAUGCAUACCAUAUUGCUUUCUCCAUUGCUCGAGAAAGGAUAAAAUAGAGGCGGUGUCGUGGAUGACCGGAGGCUGCGG
Molecule: long non-coding RNA, 1167 nt
Organism: Andrographis paniculata
Lineage: Eukaryota; Viridiplantae; Streptophyta; Magnoliopsida; Lamiales; Acanthaceae
Exons: 3
Source: RefSeq, a predicted model, not a curated record